AUAAAAGAGGCAAGGAGUUCAAAUUCUUGCCAUUUCGCGGUCAAGUCUUGGGAGGAUCAGAUCUUAGGCGCGCUUGUUCGCUGCCCCGGCAACGGUUAAGGAUCACGCGAAACUAAAAAACAAGGCUUAACUGCCUUGUUUUUUUUU
This 147-nucleotide small RNA is filed under the name Rhizobium sp. LC145. RNAcentral describes it as "Alphaproteobacterial sRNA ar9". It matches the Rfam family "Alphaproteobacterial sRNA ar9". Lineage: Bacteria; Pseudomonadati; Pseudomonadota; Alphaproteobacteria; Hyphomicrobiales; Rhizobiaceae. The record is from Rfam by way of RNAcentral.